Lupinus albus (white lupine) is the source of this 267-nucleotide non-coding RNA. NCBI's taxonomy places the organism in Eukaryota, Viridiplantae, Streptophyta, Magnoliopsida, Fabales, Fabaceae. The record is from the annotation of a GenBank genome assembly.
AUGGAACUCCAGAAGCGGCUUCAUGAACAACUUAAGAUUCAAAGAGAGUUACAGAUUCAAAUUGAAAACUAAGGGAAGCGUCUUCAUAUGAUGUUUGAGAAACAGAUAGAGAAGGACAAGUCUUCUGCUUUGAUAUCAAAUACAGUGGCGGUGCUACCUUCUCCGGUAGAGAGUUGAUUUGUUUACUUGUGUUUCUAUUUUUAUAUGUGUUUCUGGGUGGUUUAUAGUGAAGAUGGAGAUGAAUAAGCUAUGAGAGAUGAGUGAGAC